GAAAGCAAAACCCAGCUGUGAGGCAGAAAAUCAAACCAGUUCUCCAAGCCCUCAGUGGCAGAGGUUCCUUCCAGCAGCUGCACCACCAGGUGCGAGGAGGACACCCUAAGUCCUCAGAAGCCUUCAGCUGUGUUGUACUCUGGCUAGAGACAGGUCACAGUCUGCUGGGACAAGGGAGCGGUUCCAGUGCACAGCCAUUGCACACACCACAGAAAGGCCACAGCACUCCUGCAGUGGGACAGCACUAACUGGAGAGCUC
Molecule: long non-coding RNA, 259 nt
Organism: Vidua macroura (Pin-tailed whydah)
Lineage: Eukaryota; Metazoa; Chordata; Aves; Passeriformes; Viduidae
Exons: 3
Source: RefSeq, a predicted model, not a curated record